RNAcentral lists this ribosomal RNA (468 nucleotides) under uncultured bacterium. RNAcentral describes it as "partial 16S ribosomal RNA". It matches the Rfam family "Bacterial small subunit ribosomal RNA", at positions 28 to 507 of the family's 1533-position model. The record is from RNAcentral.
GACGAACGCUGGCGGCGUGCUUAACACAUGCAAGUCGAACGGAAAGGCCCUGCUUUUGUGGGGUGCUCGAGUGGCGAACGGGUGAGGAACACGCGAGUAACCUGCCCUUGACUUUGGGAUAACUUCAGGAAACUGGGGCUAAUACCGGAUAGGAGCUCCUGCUGCAUGGUGGGGGUUGGAAAGUUUCGGCGGUUGGGGAUGGACUCGCGGCUUAUCAGCUUGUUGGUGGGGUAGUGGCUUACCAAGGCUUUGACGGGUAGCCGACCUGAGAGGGUGACCGGCCACAUUGGGACUGAGAUACGGCCCAGACUCCUACGGGAGGCAGCAGUGGGGAAUAUUGCACAAUGGGCGGAAGCCUGAUGCAGCAACGCCGCGUGCGGGAUGACGGCCUUCGGGUUGUAAACCGCUUUCGCCUGUGACGAAGCGUGAGUGACGGUAAUGGGUAAAGAAGCACCGGCUAACUACGUG